UAGGGAAUCUUCGGCAAUGGGGGGAACCCUGACCGAGCAACGCCGCGUGAGUGAAGAAGGUUUUCGGAUCGUAAAGCUCUGUUGUUAAGGAAGAACGAGUGUGAGAAUGGAAAGUUCAUGCUGUGACGGUACUUAACCAGAAAGGGACGGCUAACUACGUGCCAGCAGCCGCGGUAAUACGUAGGUCCCGAGCGUUGUCCGGAUUUAUUGGGCGUAAAGCGAGCGCAGGCGGUUAGAAAAGUCUGAAGUGAAAGGCAGUGGCUCAACCAUUGUAGGCUUUGGAAACUGUUUAACUUGAGUGCAGAAGGGGAGAGUGGAAUUCCAUGUGUAGCGGUGAAAUGCGUGGAUAUAAGGAGGAGCACCGGUGGCGAAAGCGGCUCUCUGGUCUGUAACUGACGCUGGGGCUGGAAAGCGUGGGGAGCGAACAGG
This 429-nucleotide ribosomal RNA is filed under the name Verrucomicrobiota bacterium. RNAcentral describes it as "Verrucomicrobia bacterium partial 16S ribosomal RNA". It matches the Rfam family "Bacterial small subunit ribosomal RNA", at positions 355 to 776 of the family's 1533-position model. The record is from RNAcentral. Lineage: Bacteria; Pseudomonadati; Verrucomicrobiota.